CUGGCUUGCUAGUGCAGCUCCCGCUUCCUGGUGCAGUGGUGAUGUGAUGGCAAGCUCUCUCUGUGUGUGAUAGAGUUGAGUGGGAAGUGGCAUUCUUCACUUCAGGAUGAAAAGGAGUAGGCUGCUAGACUGAGACAAAAGCACGUGACUCUGAAUGGGGUGGAAGAAGCUGAUGAAGUUUGCCAGAAACAAGCACCAGUUUGCGUGUGGGGGUGUCACUGUCCAAAGAUUUGCUAGGAGAAGAAUAUGGCUCUUCCCUCCAAUCCCCAAACUAGACCUUGGACCAUCUCUCCACUGGACCACCAGCUACAAUGUCAACAGCUCCACAACUUGCAAGUCUUGCCAAAGUGUUUUAAAGGAUGAUUUAUUAAAGGAAAAUCUAAAUUAGCAAUUGGAUAUAUUCCACUAUAGGAACUUAAGACCACUCAUUAAUUCUACAACGACUUUCUGAGCACCUACCAGUGGGCCAGGCUGGGGAAAC
This 481-nucleotide long non-coding RNA is filed under the name Homo sapiens (human). RNAcentral's name for it is "non-protein coding lnc-MRPL39-4:4". The record is from RNAcentral. Lineage: Eukaryota; Metazoa; Chordata; Mammalia; Primates; Hominidae.